Molecule: long non-coding RNA, 92 nt
Organism: Salarias fasciatus (jewelled blenny)
Lineage: Eukaryota; Metazoa; Chordata; Actinopteri; Blenniiformes; Blenniidae
Exons: 3
Source: RefSeq, a predicted model, not a curated record
CAGGAAGUAGACUGAACCCAUACAGGAAGUAGACUACAGACAAGCAGGAAGUAGACUGAAUCCACACAGGAAGUAGACGGAACUCACACCGG